This 1362-nucleotide ribosomal RNA is filed under the name Salmonella enterica. RNAcentral's name for it is "partial 23S ribosomal RNA". It matches the Rfam family "Bacterial large subunit ribosomal RNA", at positions 1 to 1298 of the family's 2925-position model. Lineage: Bacteria; Pseudomonadati; Pseudomonadota; Gammaproteobacteria; Enterobacterales; Enterobacteriaceae. The record is from RNAcentral. RNAcentral also lists the same sequence under 1 other name.
GGUUAAGCGACUAAGCGUACACGGUGGAUGCCCUGGCAGUCAGAGGCGAUGAAGGACGUGCUAAUCUGCGAUAAGCGCCGGUAAGGUGAUAUGAACCGUUAUAACCGGCGAUUUCCGAAUGGGGAAACCCAGUGUGAUUCGUCACACUAUCAUUAACUGAAUCCAUAGGUUAAUGAGGCGAACCGGGGGAACUGAAACAUCUAAGUACCCCGAGGAAAAGAAAUCAACCGAGAUUCCCCCAGUAGCGGCGAGCGAACGGGGAGGAGCCCAGAGCCUGAAUCAGCAUGUGUGUUAGUGGAAGCGUCUGGAAAGGCGCGCGAUACAGGGUGACAGCCCCGUACACAAAAGCGCAUGUGCUGUGAGCUCGAUGAGUAGGGCGGGACACGUGGUAUCCUGUCUGAAUAUGGGGGGACCAUCCUCCAAGGCUAAAUACUCCUGACUGACCGAUAGUGAACCAGUACCGUGAGGGAAAGGCGAAAAGAACCCCGGCGAGGGGAGUGAAAAAGAACCUGAAACCGUGUACGUACAAGCAGUGGGAGCCCCACCACUAAGCCAGUGGUGAACUCCACAUACGCAUCCUUUGCUGAGGAUACGGUUAACGGAGCGAAAGCGACGUUCAACCUCAAAAGAAGCAGAGGGGGCUUAGUGGUGGGGUGACUGCGUACCUUUUGUAUAAUGGGUCAGCGACUUAUAUUCUGUAGCAAGGUUAACCGUAUAGGGGAGCCGGAGGGAAACCGAGUCUUAAUUGGGCGUUAAGUUGCAGGGUAUAGACCCGAAACCCGGUGAUCUAGCCAUGGGCAGGUUGAAGGUUGGGUAACACUAACUGGAGGACCGAACCGACUAAUGUUGAAAAAUUAGCGGAUGACCUGUGGCUGGGGGUGAAAGGCCAAUCAAACCGGGAGAUAGCUGGUUCUCCCCGAAAGCUAUUUAGGUAGCGCCUCGUGAAUUCAUCUUCGGGGGUAGAGCACUGUUUCGGCUAGGGGGUCAUCCCGACUUACCAACCCGAUGCAAACUGCGAAUACCGGAGAAUGUUAUCACGGGAGACACACGGCGGGUGCUAACGUCCGUCGUGAAGAGGGAAACAACCCAGACCGCCAGCUAAGGUCCCAAAGUCAUGGUUAAGUGGGAAACGAUGUGGGAAGGCCCAGACAGCCAGGAUGUUGGCUUAGAAGCAGCCAUCAUUUAAAGAAAGCGUAAUAGCUCACUGGUCGAGUCGGCCUGCGCGGAAGAUGUAACGGGGCUAAACCAUGCACCGAAGCUGCGGCAGCGAACGUAUCACUUAAAGCGAUUCAGCGGGUUACGAUUGACGGAGCGAAGCGACGUCAAAGCGUAUACAAAGUCGAGUCGGUUUAAGGAUACGUU